Molecule: ribosomal RNA, 1300 nt
Filed under: Actinomadura sp.
Lineage: Bacteria; Bacillati; Actinomycetota; Actinomycetes; Streptosporangiales; Thermomonosporaceae
Description: bacterial SSU rRNA
Rfam family: Bacterial small subunit ribosomal RNA
Source: RNAcentral
UACUCGAGCGGCGAACGGGUGAGUAACACGUGAGCAACCUGCCCCUGACUCUGGGAUAAGCCCGGGAAACUGGGUCUAAUACCGGAUAUGACCACUGGUCGCAUGAUCGUGUGGUGGAAAGUUUUUCGGUUGGGGAUGGGCUCGCGGCCUAUCAGCUUGUUGGUGGGGUGAUGGCCUACCAAGGCGACGACGGGUAACCGGCCUGAGAGGGCGACCGGUCACACUGGGACUGAGACACGGCCCAGACUCCUACGGGAGGCAGCAGUGGGGAAUAUUGCGCAAUGGGCGGAAGCCUGACGCAGCGACGCCGCGUGAGGGAUGACGGCCUUCGGGUUGUAAACCUCUUUCAGCAGGGACGAAGCUAACGUGACGGUACCUGCAGAAGAAGCGCCGGCUAACUACGUGCCAGCAGCCGCGGUAAUACGUAGGGCGCAAGCGUUGUCCGGAAUUAUUGGGCGUAAAGAGCUCGUAGGCGGUUUGUCGCGUCUGUCGUGAAAGCCCACGGCUUAACCGUGGGUCUGCGGUGGAUACGGGCAGACUAGAGGCAGGUAGGGGAGAACGGAAUUCCCGGUGUAGCGGUGAAAUGCGCAGAUAUCGGGAGGAACACCGGUGGCGAAGGCGGUUCUCUGGGCCUGUACUGACGCUGAGGAGCGAAAGCGUGGGGAGCGAACAGGAUUAGAUACCCUGGUAGUCCACGCCGUAAACGUUGGGCGCUAGGUGUGGGGUCCUUCCACGGAUUCCGCGCCGCAGCUAACGCAUUAAGCGCCCCGCCUGGGGAGUACGGCCGCAAGGCUAAAACUCAAAGGAAUUGACGGGGGCCCGCACAAGCGGCGGAGCAUGUUGCUUAAUUCGACGCAACGCGAAGAACCUUACCAAGGCUUGACAUCGCCGGAAAACCAUCAGAGAUGGUGGGUCCUUUUGGGCCGGUGACAGGUGGUGCAUGGCUGUCGUCAGCUCGUGUCGUGAGAUGUUGGGUUAAGUCCCGCAACGAGCGCAACCCUCGUUCCAUGUUGCCAGCCCUUCCGGUGGGGACUCAUGGGAAACCGCCGGGGUCACUCCGAAGAAAGGUGGGGAUAACUUCAAGUAACCAUGCCCCUUAUGCUUUGGGUGGUAAAAUGUUACAAGGGCCGGCACAAAGGUCUGCAAACCCGGGGUGGGAACAAACUCCUUAAACCGGGUUUCUUUCGGCGUCGACUUCGGGUCCCAUUCUAUAUAUAUCGGCACCUCCAGAGUCCGGAAGAUGAACACUCCCUGGAUAACUUUCCUGGGCCUUGAAAUCACCGGGUCGGCAGGGAAACAG